CCUACGGGAGGCAGCAGUGAGGAAUAUUGGUCAAUGGGCGCGAGCCUGAACCAGCCAAGUAGCGUGAAGGAUGACUGCCCUACGGGUUGUAAACUUCUUUUAUAAAGGAAUAAAGUGAGGCACGUGUGCCUUUUUGUAUGUCCUUUAUGAAUAAGGAUCGGCUAACUCCGUGCCAGCAGCCGCGGUAAUACGGAGGAUCCGCGCGUUAUCCGGAUUUAUUGGGUUUAAAGGGAGCGUAGAUGGGUUUUUAAGUCAGUUGUGAAAGUUUGCGGCUCAACCGUAAAAUUGCAAUUGAUACUGGAAGGCUUGAGUACAGGUGAGGUAGGCGGAAUUCGUGGUGUAGCGGUGAAAUGCUUAGAUAUCACGAAGAACUCCGAUGGCGAAGGCAGCUUACUAAACUGCCACUGACAUUGAUGCUCGAAAGUGUGGGUAUCAAACAGGAUUAGAUACCCGGGUAGUC
This 460-nucleotide ribosomal RNA is filed under the name uncultured bacterium. Its description in RNAcentral is "partial 16S ribosomal RNA". It matches the Rfam family "Bacterial small subunit ribosomal RNA", at positions 338 to 795 of the family's 1533-position model. The record is from RNAcentral.